This 371-nucleotide ribosomal RNA is filed under the name uncultured organism. Its description in RNAcentral is "bacterial SSU rRNA". It matches the Rfam family "Bacterial small subunit ribosomal RNA", at positions 526 to 896 of the family's 1533-position model. The record is from RNAcentral.
CGGAGGGAGCUAGCGUUGUUCGGAAUUACUGGGCGUAAAGCGCGCGUAGGCGGCUUUGUAAGUUAGAGGUGAAAGCCCGGAGCUCAACUCCGGAACUGCCUUUAAAACUGCAUCGCUUGAAUCCGGGAGAGGUGAGUGGAAUUCCGAGUGUAGAGGUGAAAUUCAUAGAUAUUCGGAAGAACACCAGUGGCGAAGGCGGCUCACUGGACCGGUAUUGACGCUGAUGUGCGAAAGCGUGGGGAGCAAACAGGAUUAGAUACCCUGGUAGUCCACGCCGUAAACGAUGAUAACUAGCUGUCAGGGGCCAUGGGCUUUUGGUGGCGCAGCUAACGCAUUAAGUUAUCCGCCUGGGGAGUACGGCCGCAAGGUUA